CAGUACUGUUUCCAGCACUAAAAGAACUCACUUUGGAGGAUAUGGAUGGUCUUGAAGAAUGGGUGGUACCAGGUGGAGAAGGUGAUCGAGUAUUUCCUUGUCUUGAAAGGUUGAGCAUUUGUAAGUGUGACAAGUUGAAAAGCAUUCCGAUAUGUGGUCUUUCAUCUCUUGUAAAAUUUGAUAUUAUAUUAUGUGAUGAACUGAGAUAUUUUUCUGGUGAGUUUCGUGGCUUCACGUCUCUUCAAAUUUUAGAGAUACGGUCUUGUCCAAAGCUGGCAUCCAUUCCAAGCGUACAACACUGCACAGCUCUGGUGGAAUUGAGUAUAUUGGACUGCCAUGAGUUGAUCUCAAUUCCUGGUGAUUUUCGAGAAUUGAAUUCUUUGAAGAAAGUGAUUGUUGAUGGGUGUAAAUUGGGAGCUCUUCCAAGCGGACUACGAUGUUGCGCAUCUCUAGAGGUAUUGUACAUAUGUGGUUGGAGUGAGCUUAUCCGUAUUAAUGAUUUACAAGAAUUGUCUUCGCUACGAAUUUUAAGGAUUAGAUGUUGUGAUAAGCUCAUCAGUGUUGAUUGGCAUAGUUUACGACAAUUGCCUUCUCUUGUUGAUUUAUCAAUCAGUUGGUGUCCUAGUUUGAGUGACAUCCCAGAGGAUGAUUGGUUAGGCAGCCUCACCCAACUGAAGGCAUUGAGCAUCGGUGGUUUCUCAGAGGAGAUGGAGGCUUUUCCUGCUGGAGUUUUAAACUCAAUCCAACACCUCAACUUGAGUGGGUCCCUUGAAUCUCUAGAGAUAGUUGGAUGGGAUAAACUGAAAAGUAUACCACACCAACUUCAACACCUCACUGCCCUUACUAGCUUGUUUAUAAGGGGUUUCAAUGGAGAGGAGUUUGAGGAAGCAUUGCCAGAAUGGUUGGCCAACCUUUCUUCUCUUGGAUCUCUUACUAUUUGGGAUUGCAAGAAUCUCAAGUAUCUGUUAAGUUCAACAGCCAUUCAACGCCUCUCCAAAUUAAAGGAAUUGGAGAUUUGGAAUUGUCCACAUCUUGAAUAAAAUUGUGAGUGGUCCAAGAUUUCUCAUAUCCCAAAGAUAGAUAUAUAGACGGUAGAUACUUUGUAAUAUGUAGUGAGGAGAGAGAACCAAUUAGAGAGAACCAAAGUAAUAAUUAAACUUCAUUCUUUUAAAAAUGGUUUCUUUCUCAUAUCCCAACAUUCUUUAGAGUAAUAUAAAAAAUAACCAAAUCAAUCAUAAUAAAAAACAAUUAUUAGAUUUUUAUUAUCUUUUAUUAUUAUAUUAAUAAAAUUUAGAUUUGUGAUCAAUGAUAAUAUCAAUAACCGUCACUCAUUAUUGUAAUAUUACUUGUACCUUCAAUCAUUAUUUUAGAAUCAUUAAUUUUAUAUACAAUUAUGAUACUUAAAACAAACUAUUAAAUCUUAAAAUUAAAUACAUAUAAAUUUAAUGAUGAUUUUUUAAAAUUAAAAAAUUAUAACCAUGAAAUCAAUAAUUUAAAAAUUAUAAUAAAAAAUUUGCCUAAUCGUUUCUUGCCUACAUGUAGUAACCAAUUUUAACAAAUUGCUUCCAUAUAGCUAUUAAACAAACAGCUUCCAAGAUUUAAAAAAGAAUCCAACGUAAAAGGGAUGCAAAAUCUUAACAGUUCAACUUCUGUUAGUUACAUGCAUAAAAAUAUAAAUUUGGUUUAAACCUUCUUAUUGAGCUCAAAGCACAAAAUAGUUUGGAAGAAAAAUGCUGCAAAUAAUGGUUCCAAAAAAGAGUAAUUCACCACUAGUUCUGUUGCUUAACAUAGAGGCUCUGAUUUGAAUAAUAAAAUACCGAUGUAGGAAAACCAAAGCAACACCAAAAGUACAUUCAGGUAAACAUUUUAAAUUAAUAAGGUUAGCUUCAUUUGGCUACAAGACUUUAUCACUCUCCCAUAUUGUUGUCUACAAGACUUUAUCGACUGAAUGUAUCUCAAUUUUCUGCUAUUUGGCUAAAUUUUCAACCCAACUAGCUACCCCAUGAAAAUGAAGCCCAUGAAAUCUGUCAUCACUUGCAAGUCCUGAUCUGGCAACGCAAGAACUGCUCCUAAUACAUUGUUCUUGGGACAAACAAUUGCCGUCGACGCCAUCCUUCAGUUUGUGGAAUUUCAAUUUCAAUCUGAGAAUGAUAAAUUUCUAUCAGUCAUCCACUAAUUUGUUCAUUCAAUUAUUCAUUCUUCUGUUUCAAACCAACCAGUCGACUUGGAGUUACAAUUGCUGAAGGCACUAUUUGUUCCUUCAAUUCGAAUUUUACAUGUUAUCAAAGAGCCAUUCAACUCAUCAAUAGAUCCAAAAUUUCUAUGGUACGGCCUCGGUCUAACUCAGACACAGCAUUGGCAUUUACAUGCAUUGUCCACCUUCUGCUAAAAUAAGAAAAGAUUAAUGGCUAAACAUGUGCAAAGAAUAAUAAAAAAAAAAGAAUCAAAGAAGCAUUUACUAAAAUCAUCAAGAAAUAUUUACAUACAUUGGAAGAAGAAUACAAGCAUCAUCUAAGUUAGUAGCUGAAAACUGUGAGCUGUAUCAACAAUGACAUUGGGUACAAAACUUAAACUCGGUGAGAAAUGGGGAGGGGGGGCUAACCUUGAACAAGAGGUGGAGCUUUUCAUGGCAGCAAGGGAAAAAGUGGAUGCAGAGUGCCAAAAUAGGUGAAAAAAGAGCGUGCGGAGGUCUGGGAAGGCUGCGGAAGUGUAAAAGACAGACAUCAUCGUGUGGACUCUAACCAUAUAACGUAAUCGUUUUCUUCCUCCUCUCUGUUUUUUAGUUAGUUACUAGUGAUUUUCCUUUAGGAUGUCACGUUUCAAUUUGAAAUAUAUUUUUAUUUAGUUUUUUAUUGUUAUUAACAAAAUAUUUAUGAGAUAUACAAUUGUUAAAAUUCUAGACAGAACAAAAUAGAUAUUCUAAAAAUAUAUAUAUAUUGUUAAACUAAUUAUUCUUUUUUUAUUCAUGUAUUUUUUUUAUUUGAAUAAACAUAUUAUUUAUUAGUAGUUCAUUUUUCGAAUAAAAAACAAUGAAAUUUAAAAUAAAAAUUUAUAAAAAGUUAAAAAAUUUGAAAUAAGUAUAACAUUUUUAUAAAAUAUAUUUUCUAUUCAGAAGCACUGUCAUGAUAUUAAAAGCAUUGUUUUUUUUUUUUAAUAAUAAGCAAGAAUUUUUUCAUUCUAAACUCUAUUUUUUAUUAAUGGAUUUAUUUUUUAUUUUAAUAAAAUAUAUUUUGUAAUCAGAAGCAUUAUUGUUAAAUGAAAUCAUAUCAUGAUCUAAAAAAAAAUGUAAUAGAAUUAUGUCUUAUAUUUUCCGUGUGACAGAAGGAAACAAUUAAUUAAGGUAACAAGGUUAUGUAAAAAACUCAAAAAAAAAAUAUUAAUGCGCACAUUUUAAAAUGUUUUUGGGUAUAUGACAAUUAAAAAAUAUAAUAUUAUUUAAAUACUAUGGUAAAAUUAUUAUUAUUUACUUUUAUUUAAAUUUAUUUACAACAAAUUUUAAUCAAAAUCUAGAGAGAGAGAAAAGAAAAAAAAACUAAAGGGCUAUAAAAAGAGGUUCAUUUAAGAGAUCGGACUUGUGCACUUAACUUGAUAAAAAGAAGGCUAAGCGUGCUAGGGCUUGCAAUGCAAGGUCAAACAUAUAUACUUGGUUUUUUUCUUCAUUAAAUAUUAAUGAGUUUAUUGUUUUUUUUAUUUUAUUUAUAAAAACUCAAUGACAAGUCAUCCAUUUUGGUAGAUAAUAUGUGGUGUGUUGUAUAGAUUUCGACCACAUUAAAACCAUUGCUUAACUAAAAAUUUAUUUGUAAACCCUUUUUUAUCUUGAGAAAUACUUAAUAAACAUCUUAAAAAUCAAAUCAAACCCAUUGCUAACCUAAAAGCACCCUUCAAUUAGUCCAAAAACCCAAAUUAAAUAAUAAUAAAAAAAAUCUUUAUAAAGUACGAUCUAUUUCUUACAACAAAAUGAAAGUUUUAAACCACCUUAAUUUUUGCAUGAAAGACAAACACAUUCGCAUUAAAAAUGACUUUUUUGUUAUUGAAAUAUAAAAAACCAACCUUUUUUUCCUGUUUUUUCUUUUUAUUGAUGAUUUUCUCUUUAAUUUGUCAAACUCAAGGACUGCAACAUUAAACAAAUGAAGUUUAUGAUCAAAAUAUAUAUUAUGAAAACCACAAGGACUAAAAAUUUGUAAAGUAAAUAUUUAUUGACCAAAAUGAGAAGGACUCCAUUUGGUUUUUUUGGUUUUUAAUAAGGUCCUACUUCUUUAAAUUAUUUUUUAUGUAAAUAUAAAUUUAAUUUCAUUAAAUUAGUUUCUACCUUAAUUUUUAUAAAGUUUAUUAAACACUAUGAAUUCAUAAAAAUAUGCAAAGAAAAGAAAAUCUCAACAUAUAAAAUAUAUCCAACAUAAUAUAAAAGGAUAAAAUAUAUAAAAAAGGAAAGUUUUAUAACCAAAAUGAAAAAUAAAAAAAGUACAUUCAUGUUAUAUAACACAAAUAUUUAAUAUUAAAAAUCAAUUAACAAAUAAAAAAAGUAAAUUCAUGUUGUAUUUAUGAAUUUCUUAGAUUUAUACAACUAGUUUUUCAAAUUUAUUCAAUUAGGUUAGCUCAGUGAUUAUUUGAUGAAUAAUUCAUCUUAACUUUUUUUUAUUGAAAAAAAAAAAAACAAUGACAUUCGACGAUGACAUGUGAUUUCACGCACUACCAAUGGCAAUGGCUAUAGAGACUAUGUGCCACCACUCUUUUAAUUUUUCCAAUGUAACUUGGAAACUCCUUUGAUCAUUCAAACCUAGUCCAGAAGGUGUUCUGCAAAUUUAGGAUGAUUUUGUGCUUGUUAUGAUUAUUAUGGAUUUGUAAUAAAUGUAAAUGUGUGUGCUUUCAUUUUCUUAUAUGUUUUUUUUAUUUCAUAGAGUAAGGAAAAUAAAGAAAACUAGACAACUAUAGGGAAAAAAGGUUCCUAGUUGAUCUAAAAGACUAACAAUUCCUUAUAGUAGCAUGUCCCAAACAGUAAAUCCUUGAUCAUUACUAUCACCUAGUUUGGCCUUGAAAUCUGCACACGUAUUUGCUUUUCUGUAAAUAUAUUGGAUCCUCACAUACUAACUUCAAGCUAGCAACCUUCUGAUAUCCCAAAUAAUAGAUUUAUUUUCGUGAAAUCCCACCUUGUUAAUAAUCGAAUUAACUUCUUUAUAGUCUGAAUUACAGAAAUCCUUCUUGAAUUUAAGCCAUGAUAAAUGCCUAACUAAUAGGAACAACCCUGAUUUUAUAUUGAAGAUCCAUAGGAAUUGUCGUUGCCAAAUCUGUAAUCUUUCCAUAUAUAUCCUCAACCUGCUUAUCAACAUCCAUAAUAUUGACAAAAAGAACACAAGAAGCCAAAGGAUCUCCUUCCAACCAGCAAUCAUACUAAAUAGGUAUGUCUUCAUAACCAAUCCGAUGCAUAAACCCAUUUUUAAAAAAAGAAAAAGCUUUAACAAUUGACUUCCAAGUAUAAGAACUUGUAAGAAGUUGAUCUAAAGGUAGAAAAAAUCAAGCAUUCUCAUAUAUUUAUGUGUGAGAACCCUUGCCCACAACUUCUCAGGGCUAUUUAUAAGAUGUCAUGUCAGCUUACCCAAUAAAACAAUGUUCCCAAGCCUAGUUUAGGACAAGUAAGAGUACUCCAUGAGGCAAGUGGUCUUAGAACAACUCCAACGGAGCAGCCAAAUGGAAAGUAAAACCUCAUUUGCCUUUUAUUUCUUUACUAUUUGCAUUGCAACCAAAAAGCUAAGUCAAAAUUGCUAUUUGUACUCUUAACAGCCAUUUUUACAUUUAACUGUAGAAAUGGCCAAAAUGACCAACGACUAUUUUUAUAACCAUUGGCCAACAAUUUUUAUUUUUUUUAAAUAUAGAAAUUUUUUUCUAUAAAUAAAUGAAGAAAAAACUUGUAGUUUUAAAUUUUUCUAUUGUGCUUCACCCUUCUCUCAAAUUUAAAAAAACAAGAAGAAAUUAUGAAAAUGGAUAUUUCUAAUUUGGUUCCAAUUUCUUGGUUAUUUUAAAUACAUUGUUAUGAAAUUGAUAUCAAUUCGUAAUACUUUUAUAAGUUUGAAUUUAAAUUUACUUUUAAAAAAUUAAUUUUUUAACAAUAACAUAUAAAACUUAAAAUUAAAAAUAUUCAUAUAAAUAAAUUUUAAAUUUAAUUUUAAAUUAUAUUUUUUAACUUUCAUAUUACUUCAUUAAUUUUAUAUUACUUUUAUAAAUUACUCAUAUUAAUUAUAUAAUUAAUAACAUCAUAAUUAUAUUAUAUAUAAAAUAUCUAAAUUAGUUAUAUAAUUAUAUUAAAAUUAAUUUAACAUGAAAUAUAUUAAAAUAUAAAUGGCUUUUCUAAAUAGCUUUUUACCAUUGGAAUGCACAUAAUACAAAAAGCUAUAUUUAUACUAUUUAAAAAACCAUUUUCUUCAUUUGGCUCUUCAAAAUGACAUUUCUCAUUGGAGAUGCUCUUAGGAAACCAAAAACUUUACAUAGAAUACUUUGGCAAAGCCAUGAGGACUAAUUUGGUUUGGUUUGGGCAUUUCCCAUCUUCAUCUUCUAAUUUGAUAAUCUAAUCUUAAUGUUUUUAAUAACAAAAUUGAAAUGGUCUUUCUUUACCCUACCUUGAAUCAAAGGAAAACCUAAAUAUUUUCCUAACUCACUGGCAGUAUGAAUAGAUGAGAGCUAAGAAAUCUUACAUUUCUUCCUUCUGCUAACAGACUUGGAACACAUGAUUAUGGAUUUCACCAAGUUAAUUUUUAGCCCAAAAGCCAUGCAAAACUAUGAUAAAACAUUAUUAAUCAAUCUAACUUGUGAAUUCCUAGCCUUCGAGAACAAAAACAUAUCGUCUAUAAAGAGCAAGUGGGAGAUCUCAGGUCCUCCUCUUGACACUCUGACUGGCUCCCAUUUCCCAUAUGAGAUUAUAUCAAAUAUUAAUAAAGAUUAAUGUAUCACAAUUAUUGAUGGAUUGUUGUAAAAGAAGUGUUAAUUGUUUAUCCACUCAUAAAAUAAUAUUAUUUAUUUAGAUUUGAAUUUUAAAUCUUCAGUUUUAUUUUUAAAUUUCCAUUGAAUGUAUUAUUUGUUAUAUCUAGGUAAGUUUACUAUCUAGUGUAGAAAGUUUUUCAAUUUAGUUAUAUUAAGUAUGGAUCUACAAUAAUAAUGAUAAUAAUUCAAGUUAAAAACAAGAAAUAUAUCAAAAUUGAAGUUAUGUAAAUCUUAAAAACUAAUAGUGUAUUUUUUUAUAUAAAUAGUUUAUUUUGAUGAUUUGAAAAAAUAAAAUUCCUCAACAAGGAAAAAAAGUAUAACCAUUUUUGUUUUUUUAAGAAAAUAAAUUUGGUAAGAAAAGGUAAAUUUUGAAUAUCCUAACUAUUAAAAAAUAAAAGACUUCCUACUUUCAGUUAUAUUUUCUAAUAUAAAUAUAAUAUUAACAUUUAAUAUCACCAUUUUGUCAAAAAUCAAAUUAAAAAUAUCUUGAUCUAUUUAAAAAUAAAAUAGAUUGUAAAAUCGGAUUAACAAACUAUAAAAAUGGAAAGAACACCAUCCUUUUAUUGUCUCUAAUAAAAUACAAAUUUAAAUUAGCCACUAUGAUACAGGGAAAGUGUUUUUUUGUCGAAUCAAAUGUAUCUAUGAAGUUGUUCGGCUACCUUGUAGAUAUAGAUAAUAGGCAGAACAUGAGUAUUGAAUAAAAUUAAACUUCGAACCACAAGAUAAAACCAAAAUGGUGUAGGGGCAACGCAACAUCCCGUAGAGUGAACUAUUCAGGCAGACUACAUUCUUAAUUUUUUUUUUUUUUUUUUAGCAGACAACUUGGUUUAUCUACUAUAUGUAAACACGUGUAUGUCCAAACCAGACGAUGUCAGGCUUCUCAUAUUUCCACCCUAUCAAUUCUACUUCCAUCUUCUUUCUCCUCCGUAUUGAACUCUCCUCGUGAAAUAAUAUUCAUGAUGGUCUUGGUGGCUUGGCCAACAGCACGGGAAGUCUUCUUUGCGGCACCAGCAACAACGGGCUGCAGGGAAAUGAUUGGCAAGCUAGCCCUUCUUGAAUCAUAGCUAGAUGUCAAAUAAUAGACAAAAACAUCAGUUCUGUAGAGAUCAAUAAAUAAUGACGGGAAAGAUAGUAGAAAGCACAGGAACUUACAAAUAGUAUGAUGGUGAGCAAGUGUCCCAAUCUGUCGAAUUCCAGCUUCUGCUGCUUGAACUGCUUGUGCUGAUUUAUUGACCCCAUCAGUUAUCUCUUGGCUGUAAUUCAUUGUGAUAAACCAUAUUAUUGUACUUGCAAAGCAUCUGAAAAAAUGAAAUUGUAUCCUUGGAGGCCAUGAGACUUCAUAGCACAUCUUGUUAAGGUUGUAGUAUUCCUCGAGAAAUUUUAUAGUAAAGUAAUUAGUGAUAUCCUAUUAGUUAUUCUCUAGAUUUAUUUUGAAGGAGAAAGAAAUCCUAGAUGUAAAUAUUCUUAUCACUUUUGAUGGGUUAUGGAUUUUAUUUUCUCACUUCCUUGUGUAUGUCUUUCUCUUCAAAGUGAUUUGAUGAGUUAAUAGAAUGCCUCUAGUUACUCCGUGUUCCAGUAUUUCUCUAGCUGUCAUCAGACAGGUUCACACACAAAUAGACAUCAGACAAGUAUAAGUUUCUAUGACAUGCAUAAAUAGACAUAACUAAAGGACCUAUAUAUCCUCAUGGACCUUUGUCACUGUCCCAAUUUCAAGGAGCAUCCUUUUAAUGGGUCAAGGAAAUCCAUGUUUCAAAGAGCAUCCUUUUACUGGGUUAAGGAAAUCCAUGUUUUGUUUAUAAGACAUGACACAUGAAACUGAUGCAAGCAGACUCCUUUGCAUAUAAGCUUGUCUAAUACAAAAUACUCUCAACCAGCAUUCAGACCACUGGAAAAGGAGAAGAAAAUAGGAAACAGAAUUGAUGAUAACCAAAGAGUUGCAGUUAGAGCUUGACUCUCACCUCAAAUCACUUAAUUCCAAUGUAAGAUCACUUAUUUCCAUGCCUGAAAGCCUAAUCGCAGCCAUUGUACUGGGAAGUUCCUCACGAGCAGUAUCUGCUAGCUUUGAAAGAGACGUUGCCGCUCUCCCCACUGCCUGCCAACCAGAGAGGAAAAAAAAUAGAUGAAAAAGAACAAUUAUAGACCUAAAAGGAAAACACUAUAAAAACUAAAUUGCAGACAAAAUGUAUGGGGAUUCACAUUUCACUUUUUUUUUUCACGGCAGGUAUUAACAAGGAUAUCAUUUAAUAAAGAUACAGCUAGCAAAACAAUUGGUUGGAACAAAAUCUAGCAAAAAUCAUAAACAUGCCAUUAAAAAGAUAAAAACUGCACUCGGGUGUAGAGUCAGAUAACUUACAAACAGUGUUGGAACGGCAGCGGCAACAAGGCAUGUAAAUGCUAUAGAAGUCUGCAAGCAAUCAAAGUAAGCCAUAUUUUCAGUAAUCAAAAAGCUAAUUUCACUCAUUGGCAACAAAUGUGAGUUUUGCAGAUCAAAGAAAUUAUAGUUUCACAACACAGUCCAGCUGCAAUAUUUACCAACACGGCAAUCAUUUUGAUUGGAUGAUUCAACUGAACCUGCACUAUCAAAGUUGAAAAAAAACCAGACGACAUCAGACUUCUCAUAUCUCCACCCUAUCAAUUCUACUUCCAUCUUCUUUCUCCUCCGUACUGAACUCUCCUCGUGAAAUAAUAUUCAUGAUGGUCUUGGUGGCUUGGCCAACAGCACGGGAAGUCUUCUUUGCGGCACCAGCAACAACGGGCUGCAGGGAAAUGAUUGGCAAGCUAGCCCUCUCUUGAAUCAUAGCUAGAUGUCAAAUAAUAGACAAAAACAUCAGUUCUGUAGAGAUCAAUAAAGAAUGACGGGAAAGAUAGUAGAAAGCACAGGAACUUACAAAUAGUAUGAUGGUGAGCAAGUGUCCCAAUCUGUCGAAGUCCAGCUUCUGCUGCUUGAACUGCUUGUGCUGAUUUAUUGACCCCAUCAGUUAUCUCUUGGCUGUAAUUCAAUUGUGAUAAACCAUAUUAUUGUACUUGGAAAGCAUCUGAAAAAAAUGAAAUUGUAUCCUUGGAGGCCACGAGACUUCAGAGCACAUCUUGUUAAGAUUUUAGUAUUCCUCGAGAAAUUUUAUGGUAAAGUAAUUAGUGAUAUCCUAUUAGUUAUUCUCUGAGAUUCAUUUUGAAGGAGACAGACACAAGGAAGGAGAAAGAAAUCAUAAAUGUAAAUAUUCUUAUCACUUUUGAUGGCUCAUGGAUUUUAUUUUCUCUCUUCCUUGUGUAUGUCUUUCUCUUCAAAGUGAGUUAAUGAGUUAAUAGAAUGCCUCUAGUUACUCCGUGUUCCAGUAUUUCUCUAGCUGUCAUCAGACAGGUUCACACACAAAUAGACAUAACUAAAGGACCUAUAUAUCCUCAUGGACCUUUGUCACUUUCCCCCCGCAUCAAUAUGUCACUGUCCCAAUUUCAAGGAGCAUCCUUUUAAUGGGUUAAGGAAAUCCAUGUUUCAAAGAGCAUCCUUUUACUGGGUUAAGGAAUCCAUGUUUUGUUUAUAAGACAUGACACAUGAAACUGAUGCAAGCAGACUCUUUCGCAUAUAAGCUUGUCUAAUGCAAAAUACUCUCAACCAGCAUUCAGACCACUGGAAAAGGAGAAGAAAAUAGGAAACAGAAUUGAUGAUAACCAAAGAGUUGCAGUUAGAGCUUGACUGUCACCUCAAAUCACUUAAUUCCAAUGUAAGAUCACUUAUUUCCAUGCCUGAAAGCCUAAUCGCAGCCAUUGUACUGGGCAGUUCCUCACGAGCAGUAUCUGCUAGCUUUGAAAGAGAUGUUGCCGCUCUCCCCACUGCCUGCCAACCAGAGAGGAAAAAAUAGAUGAAAAAGAACCAUUAUAGACCUUAAAUAAAAACACUAUAAAAAUUCAAUUGCAGACAAAAAUGUAUGGAGAUUCACAUUUCACUUUUUUUUUCACGGCAGUUAUUAUUAACAAGGAUAUCAUUUAAUAAAGAUACAGCUAGCAAAACAAUUGGUUGGAACCAAAUCUAGCAAAAAUCAUAAACAUGCCGUUAAAAAGAUAAAAACUGCUCUAAUCAAAGGAAGAACACACGGGAAUCAAUAGAAACCAUGUUGCUUCUCAAUGAAAACACUAUUCCUGCACGUUUUCUCAUCUUCAAAGCACAAGUGAAAGGCAAAGUCAACAGCUGAAGUUUAUUUAUAUCAUGAGUAAUUUAGCAACAACACCUUGUACAGAACAAUGUCGUUUGCAUCAAUUUUAACCACCAUCACGGUUGCUUUUUAUGUUAAAUAGGUCUAUUUAAUUAGAGGAAUUUAUCCUGAAUGUUUUUUCUUUAUCCAGAACAUUGCGCGUGUCAAGAGAAUAUAGGGAGAGGGAGGGACCCUCUGCUUUCAAGUUGUCUACAGGCUCAGAUGGAUUUGGACACUCAAGAUAAGAAGGUAGGGUCAUGUUCUUCGCCUUUGCAUGACUAAUUUGACAGCAGUGGUUCGUGGAAGAUGCUGCCAGCUGCAAUCAAUCAAUUAAUACAGUGAGGGAGGGACCCUCUACUUUCAAGUUGAAUGCAUCUCCCCAUCCCAAAACAUUACUGAAUUUUGUAAUUUUUCUUGUGUUCUAGGAAGAGUAAUUACGGAAAUUCAAUAUAUAUAGAUUAAUAAGUUGCUUCAUCUUUGAAUCUGUCCUAGGUUUAAUGUGAACAUAGGAUCGAGGGAGUUGGCUGGCUUCAUAUGCAGCAGACGACGAAAGGUCUAGCAUUAAUAUCCUUAGGUGAGACAGAUUGACAGUGAGAAAUUUAUGAUGUUCUAUUGCUAAAAAUAUAGUGAGAAAUUUACGAAAAAUGUAAAAUGAAAAAUCUGCAAAAAGUUGAACUAAAUACAAUAUGCCGACAGAGGCGGAUGAGUUGCUAUCAUUUAUUGAAGAUAGUAUAUUAUAAGCAAACAAGAUUACGGAUGUUAGGGUUCUUUUUUCUCUUCUUUAUUUCCUUAGCUCUUAAUUUUAAUUUUAACUUUUACUCUUAAAAUUAAAUAAAAUAUAAAUAAUAAACUAAUAAUAAACAAUAAAUUUCUAUAUUUUACUUUUUCAAAUUUUAAUAUUUAUUAAUUAUUAAAGAAUUAACUAUGAGAUUUAUUAUAUUUUUUAACAAUAGCAUGGUUUAUUAUUACAUUUUUUUCUGCCUCGUUUAAAUUCAUUUAUUUAUAUUCAUAAAUAAAGUGUAUGUACUGACACUACUUUCUUACAGGCUUGAACACACAAGAUAAGAAGGAAGGGUAAGAUGCUACCAGCUGCAAUCAAUCAAAGAGGGAGGGACCCUCUGUUUUGAAUUUGAAAUCGUAUCUCAUCACUCCAAAUGAAACACAUUUCACUUUAUCUUCAAAGAUUUUAUUUGUUUUUUAGGUAAUUUUUAUAGUUGUAAUUUAUAAAAAAGUAUAGUUGGAUUAAAUACAAAUGGUAUUAAGAAGAUAUAGUUAGUUGAAAUAAAAUGUUUGGUAUAAGUAUGGUUUUGAUUGUUUUUUAAAGUAUUUUUUAUUUAGAAAUACAUUAAAAUAAAUUUUUUUAUUUUUUAAAAUAUAUUUUUAAUAUCAGCACAUCAAAAUGAUUUGAAAACACAAAAAAUAUAUUAAUUUUUAAUGACACAACUAAACACUAGAAAAUAUUUUUUAAUUUAUUUUUCAUCAUACUAUUAAAUAUCAAAAAAUAAUUUAUUGAGAAAAAAGAGAAGGAAAGGGAAGGAAAGAAAAAAGAAAAGAUAUCAUCCACUAAGGGAAGCAAUGAAUGAUCUUUGCUUUUCCACACAGUAGUAUGUGUAUGUAUUGGCAGGUACAGGGCAAGGCAAUAUUAGUAUUUAAUGCGUCACGAUGUGUUUUAGGAAAUUUAUUGGUAUUUAAUUUUAAGAUAAUUAAAAUAAGUAUUUGUCAAAAAAUUGAUAAAUUAAUUUUACAGAAAAAAGUCAAAAUUCUCUUUUAUUAUUUAUUAUUUAUCUUGACAAAAACAUAUAUAUAUUUUAAUUAGCAACAUAGUUGUUUUAAUAAAUAAAAAACUUGAUGAUGUAAAUAAGUAUUCAAGAAUUUUUAAUUUUUGUAAAUUAAAAAGGAAAUACUAAAUGGUUGUUAAUAAAUUUAAUUUUUAUAUUAAUUUUGAUCUUUAUUUUUAUUUUGCUUUUCUUUUAUUAUUUUUUAUUUGAAAAUUUUUAUUUAUCAAAUAAACAAGACAAUGUAUGUCAUGAUAAAAUGCAAAGUUAACUAAUUUCAUUCGGCAAUUUAAAUUCUAUGUUUGUCUAAUUUCUUUAGGUUUACUAUUGUGAGGGUCCUGUCAGCUAAGAUCUUCUACAACAGUCAAUCACUUUUGAAAAUCAGCUGAAGGCUCGAAGUGUCUGUUUUGUGUAAUUUUCCUUGCCUUAAUUUCCUUGGCUAGCUGUGUGUGACGAUUUGUGAUCAAUAAAUUGAUAAGUUUUUGGUUGUUCUGAAUUAUUGGCUUGCCUCUUUAUUUUAUUCAACUUAUCUUUUAUUAUUUAUUUUUUUAUCUUGACAAAAACAUAUAUAUUUUUUAAAUUAGCAACAUAGUUGUUUUAUUAAAAAAACUUGGUAAUUUAAAUAAGUAUUCUUAAAUUUUUAAUUAUUUAAAUUAAAAGGGAAAUCCUGAAUGGUAGUUUAUAAAUUUGUUUUGCUCUUUGUUUUUUAGUCACUUUUUUUAUAUUUUGUUAUAUGCUUUCCACUUGUCCCGUCUUUCUUAACAUUUGUAGAUGGAGCGCAUGCGUGGUCCUUCUGCCUGAAGAGUAUACCAUUUGUAGAUGGAGCGCAUGCGUGGUCCUUCUGCCUGAAGAGUAUACCAGUGAGAGAUGAUUCGGUCAUUUACAAUUUUCUCACAAAUUAAUAAAGAUGAAAGCAUAGUUGUUAAGAUUUUAUUUUUACAAUCUUUUUGAUUUAUGAAUAUGCUUUCUUUUUUCUUGAUUUUUCAGUACCAUUUAGAAAUACUCAGUAAAUUAAUUUAAAUAUAGAAAAUCAAUAUAGAAGCAUUACAUUUUUAUAAAACAGAUAAUUUAGCCUGGUCUCAAAGAGUUUUAAAAUUCUCCCUUGAUCUAUUAAGUGUAGAUUUUCUUAAAACCUCAACCCCAGUUUUUAUGGGAACACAUAAAUAAAAAGACUCCCAAAAUCUCUUUUCAAAUCAAGUAAAGGAUUAGAAGAGCUGUCAAAUCUAUUGUGGAUUGGGUGCUUGAAAUUUCUUCAAACUUUAGUCAUCUUUAAUUGUGAAAAUCUAGAAAAUUUGGUCUUAGAAGCACUAUUAUUAAACCCGGCCCGGGUUUAAUAAAAGACCGGCUGUGACAACCGGCCAAACCCGGGUGACCUGGCUGGUCGACCUGGGACCCGAGCGAACCCAGACGAGACCUGUUUUUUUUUUUUUUUUUCAAAUGUGGGAUAAAAAAAUUUUUGGUUUAAAUAUUUCAACUUAAAAUGACAACAUAGUAUUUGAAACCCAUUAGUAUAUAUACUCUAUGUUCCCAAGGAAAAAAUCAUGUUUUUUCAAUGUGGUAUAAAAAACCUUUUGGUUUAAAUACUUCAACUUAAAAGGAUAACAUAAUAUCUUUUUCAAUGUGGGAUUUGAAGCCCUUUCAUAUAUAUAUAUUCUAUGUUCCCAUAAAAAAGUUAUGUUUUUUCAAUGUGGGAUUUGAAACCCAUUAGUAUAUAUACUCUAUGUUUCCAAGGAAAAAACCAUGUUUUUUCAAUGUGGGAUAAAAAAUCUUUUGGUUUAAAUACUUUAAGUUAACAUAGUAUCUUUUCAAUGUGGGAUUUGAAGCCCUUUCAUAUAUAUACUCUAUGUUCCCAUGAAAAAAGUUAUAUUUUUUCAAUGUGAGAUUUGAAUCCUAUUAGUAUAUAUACUCUAUGUUUCCAAGGAAAAAGUUAUGUUUUUUCAAUGUAGGAUAAAAAUCUUUUUUAAAUAUUUUUUGAAAUUUCAUUAUUUAUAAUAUAUAUAAUCUAUAUUUACAUUGAUUUUUUCAUAUAAAAUAUUAAAACUUUAAUUUGUUUUUAAUUUUCUCGGGUUAAUCUGAGUUGACUCGGGUUGACCCAUGAAACCCGAGACUUUGUCCCUUGGCCGGGUCAAUCCCCGAGCCGGGUUUAAUAACUAUACUUAGAAGUCUUCGGAUAUUGGUUAUUGGUGGAUGUAGUAGCUUGAUUUCUUUUCCAGGAAGCAUAAGAUGCCUACCUACUCUGGAAGAUUUUUGUAUUAUUGAAGGUAAAAAGCUUGAUUUAAUAAUAAUAGAAGAAGAGAAAAUCCAACCACUUUCCCUUCGUAUUGUAAUAUUUGAAGAGUUACUAAUAACUUUUGCUUUACUACAAUCUCUACAAACAUUUAUCAUUAAAUAGUGUCCAAACAUAUCCCUAAAAUCAAGCUUAACAAUGAUAACAGUGGUGAAGGGUUAUGAGGAUUUAAAUCUAUUAUAUUUAGUUUCGCAUUUUUAUCCACUCUUCAAUUCCUUUUAUUUCACUUAAAUUAUUUUCCCUGAAAAAAAAUGCAAUGUUUAUUUGGCAAAACCUUUUUUGUUUUGGAGGGGCAAGUUCAAGUGGAACUUCAUUAGAUUUAACUAGAGGAAAAGAACAAGACAAGGCAUGUCAUGAUAAAAUGCAAAGCUAACUAAUUUCAUUCAACAAUUUAAAUUUCUUUGAACUUAAUACAUCAUUAUUAAAUUCUAUGUUUGUCUAAUUUCUUCAGGUUUACUACAAUGAGGGUCAUGUCGGCUAAAAUCUUUUACAACAAUCAGUCACUUCCAAAGAUCAGCUUAAGGCUUGGAGUGUCUGCUUUGUGUAAUUUCCCCUGCCUUAAUUUCCUUGGCUAGUUGUGUGUGAUGAUUUAUCAAUAAUAAAUUGAUAAACUUUUGGUUGCUCUGAAUUAUUAGCUUGCCUCUUUCUUCUAUUCAACUUAUCUUAUUUAAAAUAAUUGUGUGAUCAUUUAAAUAAUUAUGUUUAACAUAUAAAUUCAUCCUUCUAAACAAACUAAAAAACUGAAGUUCGGAGGAGAAGUAGCAAUUAUGCCACUUGUUUCAAAUAAUACAACAGUCAUCAAGAACUUCAAACUUACUGAAAUGUCUCAUUCAUGAGUUUCAAAGAUCUUAAAGAAGAGACAUCCAUUUCCGCACCCUUCAAGAACAUCUACCCUUUCUUUAUAUCGGUGGCUACAAAUCUAGUGAUAAAUUUACGAAAAAUGUGCAAGAGGUUGUUCUAAAUACAUACAAAGCUGACAGAGGCGAAUGUCGAAUUUUCUCAGCCAUGGCAUGACAAAUUGACAGCGGUAGUUCGAGGAAGAAGCUGCCAACAACCAUCAAUCAAUUAGUAUAGGGAGGAAGGGACCCUCAUGCAACUAUGCUCUAAAGUUGAAUGUAUCACAUCAUUCCAAAACACACUUUGAUUCAUCUUUUAAUAUUUCACACCAUACUUCUCUUUCUCUUGUGCUCCAAAUUUCUUUUUUGCUACAAAAGAAUCUGUUUUUUUUUUGGGUAAUUUGUGCUUUUUUCUUUAUAUCUUGUUAGUACUUCAUAACUAUGAAUUUGUAUUAACUCUUGUAUUAAGACAAUUAAAUUAUUAUGAAGUUAGUUUUGUUGUUACUGUUGCGUUGAAUUCUGAUUGACUUAUUUGAAGGAUAAGUUUGUAUGUAAGUUUGGGUUCGCAUAGGUAUGAAAAUUUUUAUUGUUUUUAAUUUCACCUAUCAAUCUAAGUUUAUAGUGUAAAACUAUUUUUUAUUUUAAUCUUUUUUCUUUUGAUUUUUUUUUUGUUUUGUUAAUAUUUUUUAUUCUUUUUAAUUUAACUUUCAAAUUUAAAACAUGUUGUUGCCCUUAGAUUUAUUUUUUAUUGCACUUUUAAUCCUUAUUAUUUUUAUUGUAUUUUUUUUAUUUUGAAUUUUUUUGUAUUGUUAAUUUAUAUAAGCUUAAGUCUCAUAACUUUUUCAUAUAUAAUAUUUUCGGUUUUAUAACUCGGAUUACGGUUUAAAAAAUUAACAAUAAUUAACUAUUUUUGUCUUAUGCUUUUGAGAUUCAAAAAAAAUAAAUAUAUAUAUAUAUAUAUAUAUAUUAAAAAAAAAAUUUAUAACUUUUUUAUUCUCAUUUCAUUUAUACUUUGUUAGCAAAUAAUUUCAGAUGUAAGUUCAAGAACAUGGAUCGUCAUGUUGAGACAAACCCAUAGGACCAAAUCCCAGGCAAAAGAAAGUUACAGCAAAGAAUAAAGAGGGGAGCACCAAAUUAAUGACAAUUGAAUGGCAAUCACUGUAUCAAAUGGCAUUGUUCUACUUUUGUGGGAACCGACAGAUUAAUUUGGAUCUGCAGAGAUUUGAGAGAUCUUACCUUUUUAUCUGAAGACAUUGUAGCAUGGCAUGUCUGGCGCUGCACUGAAAACGACAGUUUUAGGAUUUACCACAGCAUGAAAAGCUUCCAGAGGGACACAUGAGCUCUUAAGCACUUGGCAGCAUAUUUUCUGAUAGCAUUUUUGAAAAAAAUUAAAAUAUUUUUGGCAACUAGUUUUUAUUUUUUAACUAAGUCAGUAUAUACUCUAACAACGUGAUGGAUUAUGUUAUUUCUAAUUUAGUUUCCGCUAAAACAUUUCGUCUACAGUAUAUACCCAACUUUAAGGGCAGAAAAGUUUGAGAAAUCAAACUUAUUGCUUGGAUGGUGAAGAUUUUUUCCAAGGAUAAACAAAUUCUGAUUUGCUGAGAAUAAUAGUGGCUGCUGAGAAUGAUAGAGCCAGUUUGAUCCUAAUAUAUAGCAAUUUUAUUCAAGUGUAAAUUGCAGUGCUGAUGUGAUCUGAGCAAGGCAUUACAGCCUCUCUAUUAAGUUUUUCUCCAUUAUAUAAGAUUUGCAUGCACAAGACGAAAAUAGCAACUUAAUUAGUUGUGGUAAAUUCAACAGCCUCUACAAACUCAUUCCAACCUCAAAGUCGAUUUUAAUUCGUCCAGAAAGUUUUAGAAACUUCAACAAGUCUUGAAAACUAAACUAUUUUUAACACAACCCUGCAAGAACAAAAAUAAAGAUAGCAAGCAAACCCUGAGUCUAUUUUUAUCCAGCUUGGAGAUUUAAAAAAAAAGCAAUGAAACAGACUCAUACAUUGCUGGCUGCGUUGCAUUGGUUGUUAUCCAUGGCUGAGAAGGAAAGAAAGAGCAUCAAAUCUAAUCAAAGGAAGAACACACGGGAAUCAAUAGAAACCAUGUUGCUUCUCAAUGAAAAGACUAUUCCUGCACGUUUUCUCAUCUUCAAAGCAAAAGUGAAAGGCAAAGUCAACAGCUGAAGUUUAUUUAUAUCAUGAGUAAUUUAGCAACAACACCUUGUACAGAACAAUGUCGUUUGCAUCAAUUUUAACCACCAUCACGGUUGAUUUUUAUGUUAAAUAGGUCUAUUUAAUUAGAGGAAUUUAUCCUGAAUGUUUUUUCUUUAUCCAGAACAUUGCGCGUGUCAAGAGAAUAUAGGGAGAGGGAGGGACCCUCUGCUUUCAAGUUGUCUACUGGCUCACAUGGAUUUGGACACUCAAGAUAAGAAGGUAGGGUCAUGUUCUUCGCCUUUGCAUGACUAAUCUGACAGCAGUGGUUCGUGGAAGAUGCUGCCAGCUGCAAUCAAUCAAUUAAUACAGUGAGGGAGGGACCCUCUGCUUUCAAGUUGAAUGCAUCUCCCCAUCCCAAAACAUUACGGAAUUUUGUAAUUUUUCUUGUGAGUUAUUGUGUUCUAGAAAGAGUAAUUACGGAAAUUCAAUAUAUAUAGAUUAAUAAGUUGCUUCAUCUUUGAAUCUGUCCUAGGUUUAAUGUGAACAUAGGAUCGAGGGAGUUGGCUGGCUUCAUAUGCAGCAGACGACGAAAGGUCUAGCAUUAAUAUCCUUAGGUGAGACAGAUUGACAGUGAGAAAUUUAUGAUGUUCUAUUGCUAAAAAUCUAGUGAGAAAUUUACGAAAAAUGUAAAAUGAAAAAUCUGCAAAAAGUUGAACUAAAUUCUAUGUUUGUCUAAUUUCUUCAGGUUUACUACAAUGAGGGUCCUGUCGGCUAAGAUCUUAUACAACAGUAAGCCAAUUCCAAAGAUCAGCUUAAGGCUCGGAGUGUCUGCUUUGUGUAAUUUCCCCUGCUUUAAUUUCUUUGGCUAGCUGUAUGUGACGAUUUAUCAAUAAUAAAUUGAUAAACUUUUGGUUGCUCUGAAUUAUUGGUUUGCCUCUUUCUUCUAUUCAACUUAUCUUAUUUAAAAUAAUUGUGUGAUCAUUUAAAUAAUUAUGUUUAACAUAUAAAUUCAUCCUUCUAAACAAACUAAAAAACUGAAGUUCGGAGGAGAAGUAGCAAUUAUGCUACUUGUUUCAAAUAAUACAACAGUCAUCAAGAACUUCAAACUUACUGCAAUGUCUCAUUCAUGAGUUUCAAAGAUCUUAAAGAAGAGACAUCCAUUUCCGCACCCUUCAAGAACAUCUACCCUCUUUUUAUAUCGGUGGCUACAAAUCUAGUGAUAAAUUUACGAAAAAUAUGCAAGAAGUUGUUCUAAAUACAUACAAAGCUGACAGAGGCGAAUGUGGAUUUUUCUCAGCCAUGGCAUGACAAAUUGACAGCGGUAGUUCGAGGAAGAAGCUGCCAACAACCAUCAAUCAAUUAGUAUAGGGAGGAAGGGACCCUCAUGCAACUAUGCUCUAAAGUUGAAUGUAUCACAUCAUUCCAAAACACACUUUGAUUCAUCUUUUAAUAUUUCACACCAUACUUCUCUUUCUCUUGUGCUCAAAAUUUCUUUUUUGCUGCAAAAGAAUUUGUUUUUUUGGGUAAUUUGUGUUUUUUUCUUUAUGUCUUGUUAGUACUUCAUAACUAUGAAUUUGUAUUUACUCUUGUAUUAAGACAAUUAAAUUAUUAUGAAGUUAGUUUUAUUGUUACUGUUGCGUUGAACUCUGAUUGACUUAUUUGAAGGAUAAGUUUGUAUGUAAGUUUGGGUUCGUAUAGGUAUAAAACUUUGAACGAGAACCUUAUCUAUGUGCUGGUCAUGAAUUCACAAAUCGAGUAGUGAUAUUUUUUAUAAAAUUUUUAUUGUUUUUAAUUUCACCUAUCAAUCUAAGUUUAUAGUGUAAUACUAUUUUUUAUUUUAAUCUUCUUUCUUUUGAUUUUUUUUUUUCGUUUUGUUAAUAUUUUUUAUUUUUUUUAAUUUAACUUUCAAAUUUAAAACAUGUUGUUGCCCUUAGAUUUAUUUUUUAUUGCACUUUUAAUCCUUAUUAUUUUUAUUUUGAAUUUUUUUGUAUUGUUAAUUUAUAUAAGCUUAACCCUCAUAACUUUUUCAUAUAUAAUACUUUUGGUUUUAUAUCUCGGAUUACGGUUUAAAAAAUUAACAAUAAUUAACUAUUUUUGUCUUAUGCUUCUGAGAUUAAAAAAUAUAUAUAUAUAUAUAUAUAUUAAAAAAAAAUUAUAACUUUUUUAUUCUCAUUUCAUUUAUACUUUGUUAGCAAAUAAUUUCAGAUGUAAGUUCAAGAACAUGGAUCGUCAUGUUGAGACAAACCCAUAGGACCAAAUCCCAGGCAAAAGAAAGUUACAGCAAAGAAUAAAGAGGGGAGCACCAAAUUAAUGACAAUUGAAUGGCAAUCACUGUAUCAAAUGGCAUUGUUCUACUUUUGUGGGAACCGACAGAUUAAUUUGGAUCUGCAGAGAUUUGAGAGAUCUUACCUUUUUAUCUGAAGACAUUGUAGCAUGGCAUGUCUGGCUCUGCACUGAAAACGACAGUUUUAGGAUUUACCACAGCAUGAAAAGCUUCCAGAGGGACACAUGAGCUCUUAAGCACUUGGCAGCAUAUUUUCUGAUAGCAUUUUUGAAAAAAAUUAAAAUAUUUUUGGCAACUAGAUUUUUUUUUUUUCACGGCAGUUAUUAUUAACAAGGAUAUCAUUUAAUAAAGAUACAGCUAGCAAAACAAUUGGUUGGAACCAAAUCUAGCAAAAAUCAUAAACAUGCCGUUAAAAAGAUAAAAACUGCUCUAAUCAAAGGAAGAACACACGGGAAUCAAUAGAAACCAUGUUGCUUCUCAAUGAAAAGACUAUUCCUGCACGUUUUCUCAUCUUCAAAGCAAAAGUGAAAGGCAAAGUCAACAGCUGAAGUUUAUUUAUAUCAUGAGUAAUUUAGCAACAACACCUUGUACAGAACAAUGUCGUUUGCAUCAAUUUUAACCACCAUCACGGUUGAUUUUUAUGUUAAAUAGGUCUAUUUAAUUAGAGGAAUUUAUCCUGAAUGUUUUUUCUUUAUCCAGAACAUUGCGCGUGUCAAGAGAAUAUAGGGAGAGGGAGGGACCCUCUGCUUUCAAGUUGUCUACUGGCUCACAUGGAUUUGGACACUCAAGAUAAGAAGGUAGGGUCAUGUUCUUCGCCUUUGCAUGACUAAUCUGACAGCAGUGGUUCGUGGAAGAUGCUGCCAGCUGCAAUCAAUCAAUUAAUACAGUGAGAGAGGGACCCUCUGCUUUCAAGUUGUCUACUGGCUCACAUGGAUUUGGACACUCAAGAUAAGAAGGUAAGGCCAUUUUCUUCGCCUUUGCAUGACUAAUCUGACACCAGUGGUUCGUGGAAGAUGCUGCCAGCUGCAAUCAAUCAAUUAAUACAGUGAGGGAGGGACCCUCUGCUUUCAAGUUGUCUACUGGCUCACAUGGAUUUGGACACUCAAGAUAAGAAGGUAAGGCCAUUUUCUUCGCCUUUGCAUGACUAAUCUGACACCAGUGGUUCGUGGAAGAUGCUGCCAGCUGCAAUCAAUCAAUUAAUACAGUGAGGGAGGGACCCUCUGCUUUCAAGUUGAAUGCAUCUCCCCAUUCCAAAACACACUUCAUUUCAUCCCUACUUCACAACUUUCAGACCAUUCUUAUCUCUCUUUACCUCAAUCUUUCUUCUUUGAUUUCCCAAAGAAAACAAGAGAAUAUGGCAGCAGAGCUUUUUCUUACGUUGGCCAUAGAGGAGACUUUGAGAAGGUUGAGUUCCAUAGCUGUUGAAGGGAUCGGACUUGCUUGGGGAUUGGAGAAACAGCUGCAAAAGCUAAAGCAAUCCUUGACCUGGAUCAAAGAUGUGCUCCAAGAUGCAGCAAUAAAGUCAGUCACAAACGAUUCUGUGAGGGGUUGGCUGGAGAAACUACAAGAUGUAGCUUCCGAUGCUGAAGAUGUUCUAGACGAGUUUGCUUAUGAGAUUCUCCGAAAAGACCAAAAGAAGGGAAAGGUACGUGACUUUUUUUCAUCCCGCAACCCUGCCGCAUUCCGUUUGAAUAUGGGUCGGAAAGUUCAGAAGAUCAUUGAAGCCCUGGAUAAAAUCCUGGAUGUUGGCUCUCGUCUUGGGUUGAGAAAUCUACCUGAAGUUAGGCGGGAUCCACGCCGACAGACAGAUUCCAUCCUUGACAGCUCAGCAGUUGUAGUAGGAAGGGAGAAUGAUGUCUCUGAAGUUGUGGAAUUGUUGACUAGCAUGACCAAAUCCGAACACGCCCUUUCAGUUGUCCCAAUAGUGGGGAUGGCUGGCCUUGGAAAGACUACUAUAGCAAAAAAGGUUUUCCAAGAAGUCAAGGACAGAAAGCUUUUUGAUGUAACAAUAUGGGUUUGUGUUUCUAACCAUUUUGAUGAAGUGCAGAUUCUACGAGAGAUGUUGCAAAAGAUUGAUAAAACUACUGGCUGGGUGGACAAUCUUGAUGCAAUUCUUGAAAACCUCAAGAAAGAGCUGGAAAAGAAAACAUUUCUUCUUGUUCUUGAUGAUGUGUGGAAUGAAGACCAUGAUAAGUGGGCUGGUUUGAAGGAGGGAUUGUUAAAAAUUAGAGACAAGAAUGGGAAUGCAGUUGUUGUUACAACCCGCCUUGAGGAAGUAGCAAGCAUGAUAUUGAAGACUUGUCCUGGGAGUCAGCACGAGCCAUGGAGACUGUCAGAGAAUCAAUGUUGGUCAAUUAUCAAGCAAAAGGUGAAUGGGGGUGGAGGAGCAUCAAUGGCUUCAGACUUGGAGUCUAUUGGACAAGAGAUUGCAAAGAAAUGUGGAGGGCUUCCAUUGCUAGCUAAUGUUUUGGGAGGAACAUUGAGCCAAAUGGAGAUACAGGAGUGGCAGUCAAUUCUAAACAGUAAAAUUUGGGAGUCCCGUGAUGGAAAUGAAGCUUUGCAUAUAUUGAGACUCAGUUUUGAUCACCUGUCAUCGCUAUCACUGAAAAAAUGUUUUGCAUACUGUUCUAUUUUUCCUAAAGAUUUUAAAAUUGAAAGGGAAGAGCUAAUUCAACUUUGGAUGGCCGAAGGUUUUCUCGGGCCAUCAAAUAGGACGAUGGAAGACGAAGGCAACAAGUGUUUCAAUGACUUGCUUGCAAAUUCCUUUUUCCAAGAUGUUGAAAGGAAUGAGUGUGAGAUCGUAACAAGUUGCAAGAUGCAUGAUCUUGUGCAUGAUCUUGCAUUACAGGUCUCAAAAUCAGUAGCGUUAAAUCUGGAGGAGGAUUCGGCUGUUGAUGGUGCAUCUCAUAUUCGUCAUCUAAAUCUCAUAUCUCGUGGGGAUGUUGAGGCAGUAUUUCCAGCGGUUGAUGCUAGAAAAUUGCGAACUGUUUUCUCAAUGGUUGAUGUAUUCAAUGUCUUGGAAAUUCAAAAGCUUGAGAACUCUCAAAUUGCGACGGUCUGAUAUCACAGAGUUACCAGAUUCAAUUUGCAAGCUGAGACAUUUGAGAUAUCUUGAUGUCUCGGUACUGCUAUCAGCGCAUUGCCGGAAUCCAUCACCAAGCUCUACCAUUUGGAAACAUUAAGAUUCAUUGAUUGCAUGUUACUAGAAAAGCUUCCCAAGAAAAUGAGGAAUUUAGUCAGCUUGAGACAUCUUCAUUUUGAUGUUCCAAGGCUAAUGCCAGCUGAGGUGAGACUCUUAACACGCCUUCAAACUCUGCCUUUUUUUGUUGUGGGUCCAGAUCAUAUGGUUGAAGAGCUGGGAUGUUUGAAAGAACUAAGAGGAGAAUUGAAGAUAUGCAAGCUUGAGCAAGUGAGAGACAGAGAAGAAGCUGAGAAGGCAGAACUGAGUGGAAAAAGAAUGAAAAAAUUGGUGUUUGAAUGGAGUAACAGUAGUGUCAAUAGCGAGGAUGUGCUGGAAGGCCUGCAGCCUCACCCAGACAUAAGAAGCUUGACAAUUAAGGGUUAUGGAGGUGAAUAUUUCCCAUCAUGGAUGUCUACAUUGCCACUCAAUAAUCUGACGGUGCUGAGAUUGAAUGGCUGCAGCAAGUUGAGGCAACUCCCAGCACUUGGAUGUCUUCCUCGCCUUCAGAUUCUACAGAUAAAAGGAAUGGGUACUGUACAAUGUAUAGGCAAGGAGUUCUAUAGCAGCAGCAGUGGCAGUGCAGCAGUACUGUUUCCAGCACUAAAAGAACUCACUUUGAAGGAUAUGGAUGGUCUUGAAGAAUGGGUGGUACCAGGUGGAGAAGGUGAUCAAGUAUUUCCUUGUCUUGAAAGGUUGUGCAUUGAGGGGUGUGGCAAGUUGAGGCAACUCCCAGCACUUGGAUGUCUUCCUCACCUUCAGAUUCUACAGAUAAAAGGAAUGGGUACUGUACAAUGUAUAGGCAAUGAGUUCUAUAGCAGCAGCAGUGGCAGUGCAGCAGUACUGUUUCCAGCACUAAAAGAACUCACUUUGAAGUAUAUGGAUGGUCUUGAAGAAUGGGUGGUACCAGGUGGAGAAGGUGAUCGAGUAUUUCCUUGUCUUGAAAGGUUGAGCAUUCUUAAGUGUGGCAAGUUGAGGCAACUCCCAGCACUUGGAUGUCUUCCUCGCCUUCAGAUUCUACAGAUAUAUGGAAUGGGUACUGUAAAAUGUAUAGGCAAGGAGUUCUAUAGCAGCAGCAGUGGCAGUGCAGCAGUACUGUUUCCAGCACUAAAAGAACUCACUUUGGAGGAUAUGGAUGGUCUUGAAGAAUGGGUGGUACCAGGUGGAGAAGGUGAUCAAGUAUUUCCUUGUCUUGAAACGUUGUGC
RNAcentral lists this long non-coding RNA (24868 nucleotides) under Populus tremula. RNAcentral's name for it is "long non-coding RNA (PTRE_LNC001672)". The record is from RNAcentral. Lineage: Eukaryota; Viridiplantae; Streptophyta; Magnoliopsida; Malpighiales; Salicaceae.